This 253-nucleotide ribosomal RNA is filed under the name uncultured bacterium. RNAcentral's name for it is "partial 16S ribosomal RNA". It matches the Rfam family "Bacterial small subunit ribosomal RNA", at positions 524 to 776 of the family's 1533-position model. The record is from RNAcentral.
UACGGGGGGGGCAAGCGUUGUUCGGAAUUACUGGGCGUAAAGGGCUCGUAGGUGGCCAACUAAGUCAGACGUGAAAUCCCUCAGCUUAACUGGGGAACUGCGUCUGAUACUGGAUGGCUUGAGUUUGGGAGAGGGAUGCGGAAUUCCAGGUGUAGCGGUGAAAUGCGUAGAUAUCUGGAGGAACACCGGUGGCGAAGGCGGCAUCCUGGACCUACACUGACACUGAGGAGCGAAAGCCAGGGGAGCAAACGGG